Molecule: transfer RNA, 87 nt
Filed under: Candidatus Saccharimonadota bacterium
Lineage: Bacteria; Candidatus Saccharimonadota
Description: tRNA-Leu
Rfam family: tRNA
About the family: Transfer RNA (tRNA) molecules are approximately 80 nucleotides in length. Their secondary structure includes four short double-helical elements and three loops (D, anti-codon, and T loops).
Source: RNAcentral
GCGCGAGUGGCGGAAUUGGUAGACGCGCUACCUUGAGGGGGUAGUGGGAGUAAUCCCGUGGAGGUUCAAGUCCUCUCUCGCGCACCA